Phasianus colchicus (ring-necked pheasant) is the source of this 196-nucleotide non-coding RNA. NCBI's taxonomy places the organism in Eukaryota, Metazoa, Chordata, Aves, Galliformes, Phasianidae. The record is from RefSeq and is a predicted model, not a curated record.
AGCUGCUCCGGCCUCAUGGCACCAAUGGCACUGGCCGUCAUCCUGGGUUGGUGGCUGGUGGCAGCGAGCAGGGCCCAGCAUCUGCCCAGACCCUCCCUGUCGCUGCUCCCCAGCCAGGGGUUAGAAGUGGGGAGCAAUGUCACCCUGCGCUGCCACCUGCCCCGUCCAGCUGCCUGGGUCUCGUUGCACCAGGAGG